GGUCCCAUGGUGUAAUGGUUGAUCACUCUGGACUCUGAAUCCAGCAAUCCGAGUUCGAAUCUCGGUGGGACCU
Transfer RNA from Astyanax mexicanus (Mexican tetra), 73 nucleotides. It matches the Rfam family "tRNA". Rfam says of the family: Transfer RNA (tRNA) molecules are approximately 80 nucleotides in length. The record is from Rfam. NCBI's taxonomy places the organism in Eukaryota, Metazoa, Chordata, Actinopteri, Characiformes, Acestrorhamphidae.